AUCUUCGGACCUUGCGCUAAUAGAUGAGCCUAAGUCGGAUUAGCUAGUUGGUGGGGUAAAGGCCUACCAAGGCGACGAUCUGUAGCGGGUCUGAGAGGAUGAUCCGCCACACUGGGACUGAGACACGGCCCAGACUCCUACGGGAGGCAGCAGUGGGGAAUAUUGGACAAUGGGGGGAACCCUGAUCCAGCCAUGCCGCGUGUGUGAAGAAGGCCUUAUGGUUGUAAAGCACUUUAAGCGAGGAGGAGGCUACUGAGACUAAUACUCUUGGAUAGUGGACGUUACUCGCAGAAUAAGCACCGGCUAACUCUG
This 312-nucleotide ribosomal RNA is filed under the name Acinetobacter sp. U(2010). Its description in RNAcentral is "bacterial SSU rRNA". It matches the Rfam family "Bacterial small subunit ribosomal RNA", at positions 208 to 505 of the family's 1533-position model. Lineage: Bacteria; Pseudomonadati; Pseudomonadota; Gammaproteobacteria; Moraxellales; Moraxellaceae. The record is from RNAcentral.